Molecule: ribosomal RNA, 253 nt
Filed under: uncultured bacterium
Lineage: Bacteria
Description: partial 16S ribosomal RNA
Rfam family: Bacterial small subunit ribosomal RNA
Source: RNAcentral
UACGUAGGGUGCGAGCGUUGUCCGGAAUUAUUGGGCGUAAAGAGCUCGUAGGCGGCUUGUCGCGUCGGAUGUGAAAGCCCGGGGCUUAACUCCGGGUCUGCAUUCGAUACGGGCAGGCUAGAGUUCGGUAGGGGAGACUGGAAUUCCUGGUGUAGCGGUGGAAUGCGCAGAUAUCAGGAGGAACACCGGUGGCGAAGGCGGGUCUCUGGGCCGAUACUGACGCUGAGGAGCGAAAGCGUGGGGAGCGAACAGG